This 471-nucleotide ribosomal RNA is filed under the name uncultured bacterium. Its description in RNAcentral is "bacterial SSU rRNA". It matches the Rfam family "Bacterial small subunit ribosomal RNA", at positions 28 to 507 of the family's 1533-position model. The record is from RNAcentral.
GAUGAACGCUGGCGGCGUGCCUAACACAUGCAAGUCGAACGGACUUACAUUGAAGCCUAGCGAUAUGUAAGUUAGUGGCGGACGGGUGAGUAACGCGUGGGUAACCUGCCUUGUACUGGGGGACAACAGUUGGAAACGACUGCUAAUACCGCAUAAGCGCACAGUACCGCAUGGUACAGUGUGAAAAACUCCGGUGGUAUAAGAUGGACCCGCGUCUGAUUAGCUGGUUGGUGAGGUAACGGCCCACCAAGGCGACGAUCAGUAGCCGACCUGAGAGGGUGACCGGCCACAUUGGGACUGAGACACGGCCCAAACUCCUACGGGAGGCAGCAGUGGGGAAUAUUGCACAAUGGGGGAAACCCUGAUGCAGCGACGCCGCGUGAGCGAAGAAGUAUUUCGGUAUGUAAAGCUCUAUCAGCAGGGAAGAAAAAAAUGACGGUACCUGACUAAGAAGCCCCGGCUAACUACGUG